UGUAAGCGUAUACCAAAGUUGUUGCAGUUAAAACGCUCGUAGUCGGAAUUUGGCAGUUCCGGAUGUGUGCACGUCGUGUGCGCACUUCGCGGGGAUUGCUUUUGUGGUCUUGCGUAGGAUGAGGCACUUUUAUUAGUGAACGUCCUCACGCAACCACUUUUUACUGUGAGAAAAUCAGAGUGCUCAAAGCAGGCAUUUUCCGUGAAUGUAUUAGCAUGGAAUAAUAGAAUAGGACUUGGUUCUAUUUUGUUGGUUUGUUGGGACUGAGUAAUGAUUAAGAGGGACAGUUGGGGGCAUUUGUAUUUCGGUGCUAGAGGUGAAAUUCUUAGAUUACCGAAAGACAAACUGCUGCGAAAGCGUCUGCCAAGGAUGUUUUCAUUGA
RNAcentral lists this ribosomal RNA (382 nucleotides) under uncultured eukaryote. RNAcentral describes it as "partial 18S ribosomal RNA". It matches the Rfam family "Eukaryotic small subunit ribosomal RNA", at positions 592 to 976 of the family's 1831-position model. The record is from RNAcentral.